Molecule: ribosomal RNA, 494 nt
Filed under: uncultured bacterium
Lineage: Bacteria
Description: bacterial SSU rRNA
Rfam family: Bacterial small subunit ribosomal RNA
Source: RNAcentral
AAAUGAAUUGACGGGGGCCCGCACAAGCGGAGGAACAUGUGGUUUAAUUCGAUGAUACGCGAGGAACCUUACCCGGGAUUGAAAUGGAGUGGAAUAACCGUGAGAGCGGUUAGUCAGCAAUGACCACUUUGUAGGUGCUGCAUGGUUGUCGUCAGCUCGUGCCGUGAGGUGUCGGCUUAAGUGCCAUAACGAGCGCAACCCUGACUGUCAGUUGCUAACAGGUUAAGCUGAGGACUCUGGCGGGACUGCCGGCGUAAGCUGUGAGGAAGGUUGGGAUGACGUCAAAUCAGCACGGCCCUUACAUCCGGGGCGACACACGUGUUACAAUGGGGGGGACAAAGGGCAGCUACCCGGCGACGGGAUGCCAAUCUCUAAACCCUCUCUCAGUUCGGAUCGGAGUCUGCAACUCGACUCCGUGAAGCUGGAUUCGCUAGUAAUCGCGCAUCAGCCAUGGCGCGGUGAAUACGUUCCCGGGCCUUGUACACACCGCCCGU